Molecule: transfer RNA, 72 nt
Filed under: Mesocricetus auratus (golden hamster)
Lineage: Eukaryota; Metazoa; Chordata; Mammalia; Rodentia; Cricetidae
Rfam family: tRNA
About the family: Transfer RNA (tRNA) molecules are approximately 80 nucleotides in length. Their secondary structure includes four short double-helical elements and three loops (D, anti-codon, and T loops).
Source: Rfam by way of RNAcentral
UCCCUGGUGGUCCAGUGGUUAGGAUUCGGCGCUCUCACUGCCGUGGCCUGGGUUUGAUUCCCGGUCAGGGAC